GCCUGCGACGCUACUGCGCGGCGAAGACAGCUACAUUAAAGUCAUCAACAUGGGCUCGGAGACCAUCAUGUGGCCGCCGGGCGAGGUCCUGCCGAGGGCCAACAGCUGCGAGGAGCCACAGCCAAACAGCCAGGAUGGCCGAAUGUAACGGACGUGACGUCAGCUGUCAUGCCCUGCCGCCAGCCAAGCCGCCAAGCCAUAUUAACACGCCCCCUUCCGCCACAGCCAAAGCCAACGAAGGGGGGAUAGUGUUAAUAAAACUAAGCCGUGCCAGCCAUUUCUACCUGCUUUCACAAAUAAAAGAACUUGUCGUUA
Molecule: long non-coding RNA, 315 nt
Organism: Bombyx mori (domestic silkworm)
Lineage: Eukaryota; Metazoa; Arthropoda; Insecta; Lepidoptera; Bombycidae
Exons: 2
Source: RefSeq, a predicted model, not a curated record